UGGGGAUUUUUCGGAUGAAGUUAGGAUUUCAAAAGUUUUGGGUUUCAAAUUGAUUUGGGGAUCUUUUAGUGUGUAGUUAGGGUUUAUAGAACCGAGUUACAAUCGACUGAAACGAUUUGGGGAGCUUGUGGUUUGUUCUUAAUCUUUGGUAACUCGAUCGUUUGUUCUCGUUGAUGUUUUGUUCUCAUUUGUUCUCGUUUUGUUCUUGUUUGUUCAGGUUAACCAAG
This 227-nucleotide long non-coding RNA is filed under the name Brassica napus (rape). RNAcentral's name for it is "long non-coding RNA (BNAP_LNC025017)". Lineage: Eukaryota; Viridiplantae; Streptophyta; Magnoliopsida; Brassicales; Brassicaceae. The record is from RNAcentral.